CGCGGGGUGGAGCAGUGGCAGCUCGGGUGGCUCAUAACCAUCAGGUCGGCGGUUCGAAUCCGCCCCCCGCAA
RNAcentral lists this transfer RNA (72 nucleotides) under Patescibacteria group bacterium. RNAcentral describes it as "tRNA-Met". It matches the Rfam family "tRNA". Rfam says of the family: Transfer RNA (tRNA) molecules are approximately 80 nucleotides in length. Their secondary structure includes four short double-helical elements and three loops (D, anti-codon, and T loops). The record is from RNAcentral.